ACGCUGGCGGCGUGCCUAAUACAUGCAAGUAGAACGCUGAAGGAGGAGCUUGCUUCUCUGGAUGAGUUGCGAACGGGUGAGUAACGCGUAGGUAACCUGCCUGGUAGCGGGGGAUAACUAUUGGAAACGAUAGCUAAUACCGCAUAAUAGUAGAUGUUGCAUGACAUUUGCUUAAAAGGUGCAAUUGCAUCACUACCAGAUGGACCUGCGUUGUAUUAUCUAGUUGGUGGGGUAACGGCUCACCAAGGCGACAAUACAUAUCCGACCUGAGAGGGUGAUCGGCCACACUGGGACUGAGACACGGCCCACACUCCUACGGGAGGCAGCAGUAGGGAAUCUUCGGCAAUGGACGGAAGUCUGACCGAGCAACGCCGCGUGAGUGAAAAAGGUUUUCGGAUCGUAAAGCUCUGUUGUAAGAGAAGAACGAGUGUGAGAGUGGAAAGUUCACACUGUGACGGUAUCUUACCAGAAAGGGACGGCUAACUACGUGCCACCAGCCGCGGUAAUACGUAGGUCCCGAGCGUUGUCCGGAUUUAUUGGGCGUAAAGCGAGCGCAGGCGGUUAGAUAAGUCUGAAGUUAAAGGCUGUGGCUUAACCAUAGUACGCUUUGGAAACUGUUUAACUUGAGUGCGAGAGGGGAGAGUGGAAUUCCAUGUGUAGCGGUGAAAUGCGUAGAUAUAUGGAGGAACACCGGUGGCGAAAGCGGCUCUCUGGCUUGUAACUGACGCUGAGGCUCGAAAGCGUGGGGAGCAAACAGGAUUAGAUACCCUGGUAGUCCACGCCGUAAACGAUGAGUGCUAGGUGUUAGACCCUUUCCGGGGUUUAGUGCCGCAGCUAACGCAUUAAGCACUCCGCCUGGGGAGUACGACCGCAAGGUUGAAACUCAAAGGAAUUGACGGGGGCCCGCACAAGCGGU
Molecule: ribosomal RNA, 916 nt
Filed under: uncultured bacterium
Lineage: Bacteria
Description: bacterial SSU rRNA
Rfam family: Bacterial small subunit ribosomal RNA
Source: RNAcentral